GGGCCGGUGGCGGAAUGGCAGACGCUCAGGUCUUAAAAACCUGUGAGUUCACACUCGUGAGGGUUCGACUCCCUCCCGGCCCA
RNAcentral lists this transfer RNA (83 nucleotides) under Candidatus Collierbacteria bacterium. Its description in RNAcentral is "tRNA-Leu". It matches the Rfam family "tRNA". Rfam says of the family: Transfer RNA (tRNA) molecules are approximately 80 nucleotides in length. Their secondary structure includes four short double-helical elements and three loops (D, anti-codon, and T loops). Lineage: Bacteria; Candidatus Collieribacteriota. The record is from RNAcentral.